Hippopotamus amphibius kiboko is the source of this 1013-nucleotide long non-coding RNA. RefSeq lists it as uncharacterized. NCBI's taxonomy places the organism in Eukaryota, Metazoa, Chordata, Mammalia, Artiodactyla, Hippopotamidae. The record is from RefSeq and is a predicted model, not a curated record. The transcript is spliced from 4 exons.
UCCCCGUCCCAUCUUUCUCUUAAAUCUGUAUCUGUGUUUUCUUUAAGCUUGUGGCACCCGUCACUCACCUCGAGUCGCCGAGCUGGUCUCGGCAAGGGCAUAUAUCAUAACUGAGCUCUUAAAUCAGGAGAGCGAAGUUUGAGUCUCAUAAUGAUUGCACUCUGGUUCACUCCACUAUUCUCUCUGCUUUGAAAAUUUCCAUGAUAACGAAUAUAUUUUGGUUCAGCCACACAGUAGACUAUUAUGUGUUCUCUAAAACUCCUCUCUUCAAAGAGCAUUUAAUAACCUGCAGAACAGCUCAAAAUAAAAUGCUAAGGGCAAAAGUCAGGAUGAAAAUUGUGUGUAUCAUGAUCCAAAUUUUUGGUGUAUGUGUUUAUCAACGAGGAGAUGAAUCAAAACGUCUGCAGUGUGACCUCUGCGUGAGGGGAUCGGCAUGUGUUGAAGCCACUGAACUCUACAUAGAGACUGCAAUUUGGCCAGUCUUCUCUCCUGAUGUCCAGGAGACACCAAUAGGCUGGAAGUUACCAUGCUGCUUAGGAAAACGGAUGCUGAUUAUCAAGAGCCCAUGGUUGACCUUGGAAAUGAAGUGAAACCACAGGACUUCACAUGUUCCAAAUUUCUUAGAAGGGCUCAAGAUCAAUGUCGCCGUGCUCCCCUCCAUCACUAUUGCUCUGAAAGCAGAAGAGUAAAUAGGUAAUAGAAGAUUGAGUCUCCUUUUACCCAAAGCAACCCCCAGAUGGGGUACAACAGUAAUUUUUGUUGUUACAUGAGGAAGAACUUUCUAACAUUUGGUGCUAUCAGCAAAGGGAAUCAGCUGAUUGUUGAGAUCCUGAAUUCCCCCAAGACUGGAUUUACUCUAACACAGAUGACAACUUACUAUUUGGGGAAAUGUUAUUGGGUAGAACGUCAAAUGAAAAUCCCAUCCAACUUUAGAAGUGUCUGGUUCUAUUAGUUCCUGUAUCAUCGGUAGUGAAACCCUACGAACAUCCCUUGUGUAAUGAAAAUACCACGUA